This 84-nucleotide transfer RNA is filed under the name Erysipelotrichaceae bacterium. RNAcentral describes it as "tRNA-Leu". It matches the Rfam family "tRNA". Rfam says of the family: Transfer RNA (tRNA) molecules are approximately 80 nucleotides in length. Their secondary structure includes four short double-helical elements and three loops (D, anti-codon, and T loops). Lineage: Bacteria; Bacillati; Bacillota; Erysipelotrichia; Erysipelotrichales; Erysipelotrichaceae. The record is from RNAcentral.
GCGGAUGUGGUGAAAUUGGCAGACACGCCAGAUUUAGGAUCUGGUGCUUCGUGCGUGCAGGUUCAAGUCCUGUCAGGCGCACCA